CCAGCAAACGCCUCAGGAGGGUAGGUAAGAGCAAAGGUGUAGACAAGCUCAUCCUCAGUCAUCUGUAAGAGAUUGAAGUCGUGUUGGGAAAGAGA
Long non-coding RNA from Sinocyclocheilus rhinocerous, 95 nucleotides. RefSeq lists it as uncharacterized. Lineage: Eukaryota; Metazoa; Chordata; Actinopteri; Cypriniformes; Cyprinidae. The transcript has 3 exons. The record is from RefSeq and is a predicted model, not a curated record.